UGCGCAGGCGGUCUUAUAAGUCAGAGGUGAAAUCUGUCGGCUCAACCGACACACUGCCUCUGAAACUGUCAGACUUGAGUUAGAGAGAGGUAAGUGGAAUUCCAGGUGUAGCGGUGAAAUGCGUAAAUAUCUGGAGGAACACCGGUGGCGAAGGCGGCUUACUGGCUCUAAACUGACGCUCAGGCACGAAAGCAUGGGGAGCGAACAGGAUUAGAUACCCUGGUAGUCC
Molecule: ribosomal RNA, 229 nt
Filed under: uncultured bacterium
Lineage: Bacteria
Description: partial 16S ribosomal RNA
Rfam family: Bacterial small subunit ribosomal RNA
Source: RNAcentral